RNAcentral lists this ribosomal RNA (465 nucleotides) under uncultured bacterium. RNAcentral's name for it is "partial 16S ribosomal RNA". It matches the Rfam family "Bacterial small subunit ribosomal RNA", at positions 338 to 795 of the family's 1533-position model. The record is from RNAcentral.
CCUACGGGAGGCAGCAGUGGGGAAUAUUGCGCAAUGGGCGAAAGCCUGACGCAGCGACGCCGCGUGAGGGAUGAAGGUCUUCGGAUCGUAAACCUCUGUCAGCAGGGAAGAACGGUCACUGUGCUAAUCAGCAGUGAAUUGACGGUACCUGCAAAGGAAGCACCGGCUAACUCCGUGCCAGCAGCCGCGGUAAUACGGAGGGUGCGAGCGUUAAUCGGAAUUACUGGGCGUAAAGCGCUCGUAGGCGGUAUGUCAAGUCAAGGGUGAAAUCCCCGCGCUCAACGUGGGAACUGCCUUUGAAACUGGCAAACUGGAGUGUGUGAGAGGAGAGUCGAAUUCCAGGUGUAGGAGUGAAAUCCGUAGAUAUCUGGAGGAACAUCAGUGGCGAAGGCGACUAUCUGGAACAUAACUGACGCUGAGGAGCGAAAGCGUGGGUAGCAAACAGGAUUAGAUACCCUAGUAGUC